RNAcentral lists this ribosomal RNA (47 nucleotides) under Roussoella sp. Its description in RNAcentral is "partial 28S ribosomal RNA". Lineage: Eukaryota; Fungi; Ascomycota; Dothideomycetes; Pleosporales; Thyridariaceae. The record is from RNAcentral.
CACUGACCUCGGAUCAGGUAGGGAUACCCGCUGAACUUAAGCAUAUC